RNA transcript from Panicum virgatum (switchgrass), 1668 nucleotides. It is a transcript of the gene named pto-interacting protein 1-like, with no coding region annotated. The record is from RefSeq and is a predicted model, not a curated record. NCBI's taxonomy places the organism in Eukaryota, Viridiplantae, Streptophyta, Magnoliopsida, Poales, Poaceae. The transcript has 10 exons.
AGCCAGCGGGUGCACAGUGUGAAAUCUUCAAAGCUUAUCCUCACCGCGAGUGAGCAGAGAACCUCCAAGGAAAGACCGAAGAGUCGGAACCAGUACACACCGAGCUUUGUUCUCCCCUGCCCUCGCUGCUGCGGCGAAUUUUCUUGCCCUGCACCGGCCACCGUGGCUAGCCUGCGCCACCGUCGCCCUUCCGCCCUCCUCCGGGAAGCUGAAAGAUCUUGGAUAAUUUUGAACAUGUCAUGUCUGGCAUGUUGUGGCGGCGAAGACACUCAAAGAGCACCUGAUAGUGGAGGUCCAUACCCUGGUGGCUACCCAGCAAGGAAUGAUGCUUAUCGCACUGCUGAUCCAACUCCCAGAGGUGUUCAACCUGUGAAAGUGCAGCCAAUUGCUGUCCCCACUAUUCCUGUUGAAGAAAUCCGGGAGGUCACACAGGGUUUUGGUGAUGAAGCUUUGGUUGGUGAGGGUUCUUUUGGCAGAGUGUAUUAUGGUAUACUGAAUAAUGGCAGAAGUGCGGCGAUCAAAAAGUUAGAUUCAAGUAAACAGCCAGAACAAGAAUUUUUGGCACAGGUUUCCAUGGUGUCAAGACUUAAGCAUGACAAUGUCGUGGAGUUGCUUGGUUACUGUGUUGAUGGAAACACCCGUAUCCUUGCUUAUGAAUUUGCUACUAUGGGUUCUCUUCAUGAUAUGCUUCACGGCCGGAAAGGUGUGAAAGGAGCUCAGCCAGGUCCAGUCCUGUCUUGGACACAACGAGUGAAAAUUGCUGUUGGAGCAGCAAAAGGCCUUGAGUAUCUUCAUGAGAAAGCACAGCCUCAUAUAAUACACAGGGACAUCAAAUCCAGCAAUGUACUUCUGUUCGAUGAUGAUGUAUCUAAAAUAGCUGAUUUUGACUUGUCAAACCAAGCUCCUGAUAUGGCAGCUCGACUUCAUUCAACUAGGGUUCUGGGAACAUUUGGAUAUCAUGCACCUGAGUAUGCAAUGACUGGACAACUUAGCUCUAAGAGUGACGUCUAUAGUUUUGGAGUUGUUCUUCUGGAACUCCUGACUGGAAGAAAGCCUGUGGAUCAUACAUUACCAAGGGGACAACAGAGUCUCGUGACAUGGGCAACUCCACGGCUUAGUGAAGACAAAGUCAGGCAAUGUGUCGAUUCAAGACUUGGAGGGGAAUAUCCUCCUAAAUCUGUUGCAAAGGAACUGAGCCUACCUCAGUUGGUGGGAGGUGUGUGUGUACAUCCCCACCACCCAGGUUCCAGUCCUCUUCGACUUCAAAUUUUAUGGCGAUAUCUUCUUAUUAAUAAUGGCACCUAGCUCCUCAUAGUUUGCAGCAGUUGCUGCAUUGUGCGUGCAAUAUGAAGCUGAUUUUCGACCAAACAUGAGCAUUGUGGUGAAGGCCCUCCAGCCCCUGCUGAAUGCACGUGCAUCCAACAACCAUGGCUGAGUGAAUGACUGCUCUUGCUUGUACUUGACGCCAGUAUCUGAUUCAGACAAUCAUGUAGCAUUGUAAUUUGUAAUAAGACAAAAGUAUGGUGCUUCUUGACCUUGGAUGUUCAUGAUGUGGAUGAGGAGAUAACUCCUUGCAGUUCCUGGAUGUUACUGACUAGUCUUCUGUACCCUGAUAAGGGCCAUAGCGUAUACAAGUAUAAACUGUAUGCCGUUUGUUUGGUUGCAUUU